GAUGAACGCUAGCGGCAGGCUUAAUACAUGCAAGUCGAGGGGCAGCGGGAGUAGCAAUACUUGCCGGCGACCGGCGCACGGGUGCGUAACACGUAUACAAUCUGCCUUUUACUGGGGAAUAGCUCGGAGAAAUCCGGAUUAAUACCCCAUAACAGCGGGGAUGGCAUCAUCCCUUCUUGAAAGCUCCGGCGGUAAAAGAUGAGUAUGCGGCUGAUUAGCUUGUUGGUGAGGUAACGGCUCACCAAGGCAACGAUCAGUAGGGGAUCUGAGAGGACUACCCCCCACACUGGUACUGAGACACGGACCAGACUCCUACGGGAGGCAGCAGUAAGGAAUAUUGGACAAUGCCCGCAAGGGUGAUCCAGCCAUGCCGCGUGCAGGAAGAAGGCCCUAUGGGUCGUAAACUGCUUUUGAACAAGAGAAAACCCCCUUACGUGUAAGGGGCUGAUAGUAUUGUUAGAAUAAGCAUCGGCUAACUUCGUGCCAGCAGCCGCGGUAAGACGAAGGAUGCAAGCGUUAUCCGGAUUCAUUGGGUUUAAAGGGAGCGUAGGCGGCUCGAUAAGUCAGUGGUGAAAUCUUCUCGCUUAACGAGAAAACUGCCAUUGAUACUGUCAAGCUUGAGUACAGUUGCCGUUGGCGGAAUAUGACAUGUAGUGGUGAAAUACAUAGAGAUGUCAUAGAACACCGAUUGCGAAGGCAGCUAACGAAGCUGUAACUGACGCUGAGGCUCGAAAGUGCGGGGAUCAAACAGGAUUAGAUACCCUGGUAGUCCGCACUGUAAACGAUGAUUACUCGCUGCUGGAGGGCAACUCUCAGUGGCUUAGCGAAAGCGAUAAGUAAUCCACGUGGGGAGUACGCCGGCAACGGUGAAACUCAAAGGAAUUGACGGGGGCCCGCACAAGCGGAGGAGCAUGUGGUUUAAUUCGAUGCUACACGAAGAACCUUACCCGGGUUUGACAUGCAAGUGGUAGUGAUCUGAAAGGUGAACGACCCGCAAGGGAGCUUGCACAGGUGUUGCAUGGCUGUCGUCAGCUCGUGUCGUGAGAUGUUCGGUUAAGUCCGCUAACGAGCGCAACCCUCGCUGUAUGUUACAUGUGUCAUACAGGACCGCCGGUAUCAAGCCGGAGGAAGGUGGGGAUGACGUCAAGUCCGCAUGGCCUUCAUGUCCGGGGCUACACACACGCUACAAUGGGCAGUACAAUGGGUUGCUAAGCCGCGAGGUGGAGCCAAUCCCCCAAAGCUGUCCUCAGUUCAGAUUGCAGGCUGCAACUCGCCUGCAUGAAGCUGGAGUUGCUAGUAAACGCGCGUCAGCUAUAGUGCGUUGAAUACGUUCUCGGGCCUCGUACACACCGCCCGUCACGUCAUGGGAGCUGGUAACACCUGAAGCCGGUAGUCUAACCGCAAGGAGGACGCCGUCGAAGGUGGUGCUGGUGACUGGGACG
RNAcentral lists this ribosomal RNA (1442 nucleotides) under uncultured bacterium. RNAcentral describes it as "bacterial SSU rRNA". It matches the Rfam family "Bacterial small subunit ribosomal RNA". The record is from RNAcentral.